Molecule: ribosomal RNA, 547 nt
Filed under: uncultured bacterium
Lineage: Bacteria
Description: bacterial SSU rRNA
Rfam family: Bacterial small subunit ribosomal RNA
Source: RNAcentral
GAGUUUGAUCCUGGCUCAGGAUGAACGCUAGCGGCAGGCUUAAUACAUGCAAGUCGAGGGGCAGCACAGGUAGCAAUACUGGGUGGCGACCGGCAAACGGGUGCGGAACACGUACGCAACCUUCCUUUAAGCGGGGGAUAGCCCAGGGAAACUUGGAUUAAUACCCCAUAAGACGGUGGUGUGGCAUCACACAGCUGUUAAAGCUACGGCACUUAAAGAUGGGCGUGCGGCUGAUUAGGUAGUUGGCGGGGUAACGGCCCACCAAGCCAACGAUCAGUAACUGGUGUGAGAGCACGACCAGUCACACGGGCACUGAGACACGGGCCCGACUCCUACGGGAGGCAGCAGUAAGGAAUAUUGGUCAAUGGACGCAAGUCUGAACCAGCCAUGCCGCGUGGAGGAUGAAGGCCCUCUGGGUUGUAAACUUCUUUUAUUGGGGAAGAAACCCAUCUUUUCUAAGGUGGUUGACGGUACCCGAUGAAUAAGCACCGGCUAACUCCGUGCCAGCAUCCGCGGUAAUACGGAGGGUGCAAGCGUUAUCCGGAUU